GAGCCUCGGACUGUCCAUGAGCCCGUCCUUGAUUAUCUCCAAAAAUGAAAUCAGCAAAGUCGUCCAUGCUUGUACUGUCCGUGCUACAAGAGCAUUCAUCUGAGGUGCUGUCAAAGAGAGAAGAACUGUCACUCGACGAGUCCUCUUCCAAAAUUCUCUGCAGCCUCUGGAAGCUGGAGUAAAACGACUGUAUAUUCCCAGGUCGAUCACCACCAGGAGUGUUGGAAGACAACACAUGACUUGCAGUAGACACAGACCGUGACACAGUAGUCUUAGGUACCGGCACACUGCCUUUUUUAUUGGAUGCUUCAGAUUUGUUACAUACUACCAAUCUUGGUGGCAUUGGAGAGCACCUGUAUCCAGUUCAUUUGAAUAUAUAACAUAAGUAACCAGAUCAAACAUAAUCCACAAUCUUAAAGAGACUGAUAGAUGAGUUAUUAUUGUAAUAUUAUUUACCUUUCGUAGAACAACAUAUACGCUCCCAUUGUCAAUACCCUUUCAACAUCAGAAGUUACUACCUGAAGAUAAUCACAACAGAAGAAUUAAACUUAGAAAAUUUUAUUCAAAUGUAACAAUAUUCAAAACAGAGCUUACUUAGAAACUAAUUCACAACUCUUACCGUGCUAUCAUCAGCUUUGUACCACUUGUUUUGACUGUUUCUAACAUAGCACACGUAGUGACCAGAAAAUGCUGCAUUCAUUGUAUCCAAGUGAACAAUAACUCCAUAGAGUUUGUAGUCAUGUGAUUUUUCACUUCCACCGCUGACAUAUGGAGUCAAAUCUAGAGUUUCUGGAAACCUAAUCAACUUAUUUAACUUCCCGAAUUUUCCAGACUGCAAGAAGUUUCCUAAAAUUGUGAGCUAACAAACAAACAAAAACACAGAUGGACCCAACAUAACAACCCGUGUCUCCGCUGAAGAUAUUAUUUACCUGGAAUCGUUUUAGUGCAAUUGUAAGGACAUUCGGAGGCUCUGUGAUUUUCAGUUUCUUUUUGGCUCUCUCAUAGGACUUACACCUGCUCACACAAAGAAAAAAAAAGCUUAGCUUCGAUCAGCUUUUGAAUGUAAAUCCUACUACCAGAAUCGGAUAAGAGGUUGCAGUUGAUUGGUUAGAACUAGUAGGCAAAUACACGACCAUGAAUGUACUAGAUAUAACUUUGACUUGAAAUGCCUCAAGGAACUGUAUCAAACGACCAUAAGAAGUUCAACACAUGGAAAGGAAACGCUGACAGACCUGCCACAUUUAUAUUUGUUUUCUCCAUCCAAUAUUUCAGUUCUUGUAAAUCGACGCAAAGCCUCCUCCAAUGUGCUGAUAUCACCAUCAAUCUCAACUGUCAGAUCCAUCAUUUUCUCACGCCGCUCAGAUUUUUCUUGGCAUUUCAUGCAUUUAAUCUAUUGUUUCACAAGAAAAAACAAACGAUAAGCACUACUACUUCCUCAAAAACAAUGUAUAAUGCGGCAAAUACAAAUCUAAUAGUUAGCAGCACCUUUGAUCGGAGGUAUCCACCGAAUGUCAAACCAAUGAGAGUAGUAUCUUCUAGUUUCUUAGUCUUUGGCAUAUCGUAUCCAGAUGCCUUAAUGCACACAGACUGCAUUAUGUCGACAACAAACCUGCAAAAGGCAAGAAAAAAUGGGAAGGGAAAAUGAAAUCAAAACAAGUUCUUCCAGUUGUAAUAUACAGAUAAUGCAUUAAAGUUUAUUUGAUAGGCGAAAUGUCAGUUCACCUAAGGAAUUCAUGCGCAUCUUCUUGCUUGCCAUUCCCAAGACGGAUUCCAAUACUCUGCAGCUGUGAUAGCAACCCAUUAGGGGACAGUGAAGACUUCCCUUCUUUUGCCUUUAAGACCAGCUUCUCAAACCCACAGGUGAAGCACUGUUCUUUGUUUAGACCUAACGGUUAAAUGAACUAUUAAGAGCUUGAUAUAACAAUGAUAACAAAACAUCAAAUAAGCAACAUAUAUCACAUAGAAAAGAAAAGAAAAGAGAACAGAACCAGAGACGCACAUGUUCUAGAAUGGAGUUGUUGGAGGAAGUAUGUGGUCAGAGGAGCAGUGAACAUCAGGCAUUGGAAGACCACAUUAGCAAAGCAGCUGCAAUAAAAUGAGAACUUUCUUGCAUUAGCGAGUGUGAGCUAUUAUAGUUCUUUUUACAACAGAGGAUGAAGAUUAUAACAGCCAGCAAAGAACAUACACUUCUUCAGAAAGCAUUAUUCCCAGACUAAAAAGACCGUGCUACAAGAGCAUUCAUCUGAGGUGCUGUCAAAGAGAGAAGAACUGUCACUCGACGAGUCCUCUUCCAAAAUUCUCUGCAGCCUCUGGAAGCUGGAGUAAAACGACUGUAUAUUCCCAGGUCGAUCACCACCAGGAGUGUUGGAAGACAACACAUGACUUGCAGUAGACACAGACCGUGACACAGUAGUCUUAGGUACCGGCACACUGCCUUUUUUAUUGGAUGCUUCAGAUUUGUUACAUACUACCAAUCUUGGUGGCAUUG
RNAcentral lists this long non-coding RNA (2488 nucleotides) under Brassica napus (rape). Its description in RNAcentral is "long non-coding RNA (BNAP_LNC020842)". Lineage: Eukaryota; Viridiplantae; Streptophyta; Magnoliopsida; Brassicales; Brassicaceae. The record is from RNAcentral.